RNAcentral lists this ribosomal RNA (492 nucleotides) under uncultured bacterium. RNAcentral's name for it is "partial 16S ribosomal RNA". It matches the Rfam family "Bacterial small subunit ribosomal RNA", at positions 29 to 507 of the family's 1533-position model. The record is from RNAcentral.
AGUGAACGCUGGCGGUAGGCCUAACACAUGCAAGUCGAACGGCAGCACAGUAAGAGCUUGCUCUUACGGGUGGCGAGUGGCGGACGGGUGAGGAAUACAUCGGAAUCUACUUUUUCGUGGGGGAUAACGUAGGGAAACUUACGCUAAUACCGCAUACGACCUACGGGUGAAAGCAGGGGAUCUUCGGACCUUGCGCGAUUGAAUGAGCCGAUGUCGGAUUAGCUAGUUGGCGGGGUAAAGGCCCACCAAGGCGACGAUCCGUAGCUGGUCUGAGAGGAUGAUCAGCCACACUGGAACUGAGACACGGUCCAGACUCCUACGGGAGGCAGCAGUGGGGAAUAUUGGACAAUGGGCGCAAGCCUGAUCCAGCCAUACCGCGUGGGUGAAGAAGGCCUUCGGGUUGUAAAGCCCUUCUGUUGGGAAAGAGAAGCAGCAGGUUAAUACCCCGCUGUUCUGACGGUACCCAAAGAAUAAGCACCGGCUAACUUCGUG